UACGUAGGGUGCGAGCGUUGUCCGGAAUUAUUGGGCGGAAAGAGCUUGUAGGCGGUUUGUCGCGUCUGCUGUGAAAAUCCGGGGCUCAACCCCGGACUUGCAGUGGGUACGGGCAGACUGGAGUGUGGUAGGGGAGACUGGAAUUCCUGGUGUAGCGGUGGAAUGCGCAGAUAUCAGGAGGAACACCGAUGGCGAAGGCAGGUCUCUGGGCCACUACUGACGCUGAGAAGCGAAAGCAUGGGGAGCGAACAGG
Molecule: ribosomal RNA, 253 nt
Filed under: uncultured bacterium
Lineage: Bacteria
Description: partial 16S ribosomal RNA
Rfam family: Bacterial small subunit ribosomal RNA
Source: RNAcentral